AUACGUAGGGGGCGAGCGUUGUCCGGAAUGACUGGGCGUAAAGGGCGUGUAGGCGGCUGUCUAAGUCUGGAGUGAAAGUCCUGCUUUCAAGGUGGGAAUUGCUUUGGAGACUGGAUGGCUUGAGUGCGGAAGAGGUAAGUGGAAUUCCCAGUGUAGCGGUGAAAUGCGUAGAGAUUGGGAGGUACACCAGUGGCGAAGGCGACUUACUGGGCCGUAACUGACGCUGAGGCGCGAAAGCGUGGGGAGCGAACAGGAUUAGAUACCCUGGUAGUCCACGCGGUAAACGAUGAAUGCCAGGUGUUGCGGGUAUCGACCCCUGCAGUGCCGGAGUAAACACAAUAAGCAUUCCGCCUGGGGAGUACGGCCGCAAGGUUGAAACUCAAAGGAAUUGACGGGG
Molecule: ribosomal RNA, 397 nt
Filed under: uncultured bacterium
Lineage: Bacteria
Description: partial 16S ribosomal RNA
Rfam family: Bacterial small subunit ribosomal RNA
Source: RNAcentral